UGGGGAAUCUUAGACAAUGGGGGAAACCCUGAUCUAGCCAUGCCGCGUGAGUGAAGAAGGUCCUAGGAUCGUAAAGCUCUUUCGCCAGGGAUGAUAAUGACAGUACCUGGUAAAGAAACCCCGGCUAACUCCGUGCCAGCAGCCGCGGUAAUACGGAGGGGGUUAGCGUUGUUCGGAAUUACUGGGCGUAAAGCGCACGUAGGCGGAUUGGAAAGUUGGGGGUGAAAUCCCGGGGCUCAACCCCGGAACUGCCCUCAAAACUCCCAGUCUAGAGUUCGAGAGAGGUGAGUGGAAUUCCGAGUGUAGAGGUGAAAUUCGUAGAUAUUCGGAAGAGCACCAGUGGCGAAGGCGGCCCACUGGCUCGAUACUGACGCUGAGGUGCGAAUGCGUGGGUAGCAGACAGGAUUAGAUACCCUGGUAGUCCACGCCGUAAACGUUGAAUGCCAGUCGUCGGGCAGCAUGCUGUUCGGUGACACACCUAACGGAUUAAGCAUUCCGCCUGGGGAGUACGGCCGCAAGGUUA
RNAcentral lists this ribosomal RNA (523 nucleotides) under uncultured bacterium. RNAcentral describes it as "bacterial SSU rRNA". It matches the Rfam family "Bacterial small subunit ribosomal RNA", at positions 355 to 896 of the family's 1533-position model. The record is from RNAcentral.